UACAGAGGGUGCGAGCGUUGUUCGGAAUUAUUGGGCGUAAAGCGCUUGUAGGCGGCACGUCAAGUCGCGUGUGAAAUCCCCAGGCUUAACCUGGGAAGUGCGCGCGAAACUGACGAGCUUGAGUGCCGGAGAGGGUCGCGGAAUUCCCGGUGUAGUGGUGAAAUGCGUAGAUAUCGGGAGGAACACCAGUGGCGAAGGCGACUUCCUGGCCUGUUCUUGACGCUGAGGCGCGAAAGCUAGGGUAGCGAACAGG
This 253-nucleotide ribosomal RNA is filed under the name uncultured bacterium. RNAcentral describes it as "partial 16S ribosomal RNA". It matches the Rfam family "Bacterial small subunit ribosomal RNA", at positions 524 to 776 of the family's 1533-position model. The record is from RNAcentral.